This 543-nucleotide ribosomal RNA is filed under the name uncultured Glomeromycotina. RNAcentral's name for it is "SSU rRNA". It matches the Rfam family "Eukaryotic small subunit ribosomal RNA", at positions 548 to 1097 of the family's 1831-position model. Lineage: Eukaryota; Fungi; Glomeromycota. The record is from RNAcentral.
UUGGAGGGCAAGUCUGGUGCCAGCAGCCGCGGUAAUUCCAGCUCCAAUAGCGUAUAUUAAAGUUGUUGCAGUUAAAAAGCUCGUAGUUGAAUUUCGGGGUUCUACCGUUGGUCGGGCUUUGUCUGUACUGGUGUGUAGAAUUUCUACCUUCUGGGGAACCAUCAUGCUAUUAAUUUAGCGUGGUGGGAAACCAGGACCUUUACCUUGAAAAAAUUAGUGUGUUCAAAGCAGGCUUAUGUCUGAAUACAUUAGCGUGGAAUAAUAGAAUAGGACGGUGGUCCUGUUUUGUUGGUUUCUGAAUCACCGUAAUGAUUAAUAGGGAUAGUUGGGGGCAUUAGUAUUCAAUUGUCAGAGGUGAAAUUCUUGGAUUUAUUGAAGACUAACUUCUGCGAAAGCAUUUGCCAAGGAUGUUUUCAUUAAUCAAGAACGAAAGUUAGGGGACCGAAGACGAUCAGAUACCGUCGUAGUCUUAACCAUAAACUAUGCCGACUAGGGAUCGGACGAUGUUAAUUUUUCUUGACUCGUUCGGCGCCUUACGGGAAA